Molecule: ribosomal RNA, 93 nt
Filed under: Erysiphe castaneigena
Lineage: Eukaryota; Fungi; Ascomycota; Leotiomycetes; Helotiales; Erysiphaceae
Description: partial 28S ribosomal RNA
Rfam family: Eukaryotic large subunit ribosomal RNA
Source: RNAcentral
UUGACCUCGAAUCAGGUAGGAAUACCCGCUGAACUUAAGCAUAUCAAUAAGCGGAGGAAAAGAAACCAACCGGGAUUACCUCUAGGGGCGAAA